CCUACGGGAGGCAGCAGUGAGGAAUAUUGGUCAAUGGCCGCAGGGCUGAACCAGCCAAGUCGCGUGAGGGAUGACGGUCCUAUGGAUUGUAAACCUCUUUUGUCAGGGAGCAAAGGGCGCCACGUGUGGCGCUUUGCGAGUACCUGAAGAAAAAGCAUCGGCUAACUCCGUGCCAGCAGCCGCGGUAAUACGGAGGAUGCGAGCGUUCUCCGGAUUUAUUGGGUUUAAAGGGUGCGCAGGCGGAAUGUCAAGUCAGCGGUAAAAUUUCGGGGCUCAACCCCGUCGUGCCGUUGAAACUGGCGUUCUUGAGUGAGCGAGAAGUAUGCGGAAUGCGUGGUGUAGCGGUGAAAUGCAUAGAUAUCACGCAGAACUCCGAUUGCGAAGGCAGCAUACCGGCGCUCAACUGACGCUCAUGCACGAAAGCGUGGGUAUCGAACAGGAUUAGAUACCCCAGUAGUC
Molecule: ribosomal RNA, 459 nt
Filed under: uncultured bacterium
Lineage: Bacteria
Description: partial 16S ribosomal RNA
Rfam family: Bacterial small subunit ribosomal RNA
Source: RNAcentral